This is a non-coding RNA of Pelobates cultripes (western spadefoot toad), 283 nucleotides long. Lineage: Eukaryota; Metazoa; Chordata; Amphibia; Anura; Pelobatidae. The record is from the annotation of a GenBank genome assembly.
AAUAAAUUAUUAUUUUUAUAAAACAUUAUUAAUUCUCCAAUGUUUUGGAUAGAAUUUUAUCUUGCUCUUCUACAAUGUAACUACUACUCACAUAAUCUCACAGGAUUUUCAUGAUGUAGAAGUUAUUCUCAUAUAAUCUCAAAGAAAUUAUAAUCUCAUUGUGGCUCUUGUCACCAUCACUGGGGACUGAAGAUGGACACUUUAUGUAGGUCCCCAGAUUACUCCUAUGUUUUAGUCACCCUGUGCCCAUUAUAGGUACAGUGGUGUGUAGUGUAUUUGUUUU